This is a long non-coding RNA of Zingiber officinale, 303 nucleotides long. RefSeq lists it as uncharacterized. The transcript has 2 exons. The record is from RefSeq and is a predicted model, not a curated record. NCBI's taxonomy places the organism in Eukaryota, Viridiplantae, Streptophyta, Magnoliopsida, Zingiberales, Zingiberaceae.
AAUUUGAAAUUUUAUAUUCUUAUUUAUUCAUAAUCCUUUUUCUUAUUUUUCAGAUGCUUGGUUCUAUUAGUUAAAAUGAAUCAUUCUCCAGUUUCAAUCUUGAUUCAGUUUCUACCUGCUUGGGAAGCUAUUAUUUUUGUUUUACCAAUUGGCAAUGAAACUCUACAAUGAUGAAUGAAACCUAGAGAUAAUUAGACAUUGCUCAAAUAUGCAAAAGGAACAAUAAACUGAGACCAGAUGUGCAGUAAUUGAUAUCGUUAGAACCCAGCCACUCUUCACUGGUUACACUGUUUCCAGAAAAGG